GGUUGGGGUAGGCCAUGGAAGUUCUUUUCUGGUUCUAUUUCCUCAGUGAAAUAAUGCGCUUUCAAAGGGAAACUCAUAUAGUAGUGCUGGAAGUGUAAAUGAGCCUUUUGAUAUUAGGUUUCCCAGUCUGGCAGCUGGGCAUCCUCCUCCCCAAAGCAAGAGUACCGGGAUAUGCCAAGGGGUUCUUAAAGCUGGAACUCAUGGAUUUCCCUGGCUGAUUGGAGCAUCACUGCUGCCAGCAAAGCCCAAGGUGUGAGCUCUACAUUAUGCUGAGAUGGCUAUGUACAAGUAUAUCCAGAAUGACGGUGGAUACGUUGAAAGUCCAAUCAACUGUGCUAAAUCUUGAAUCAGUUCUCUCUGUUGCCUUUUGCAGGGCAGCCUUACCAUCUCCUUUUAAGAACAGAAGUCUUUUCUUUCUGCCUCUUAAAGUCAGUAGCUGGUUUGUCACCCAAUAACAAAAGCCCACAAUAUCCUGACCUCAAAGACUAGGAAGUAAAUAAGGAAAUAUGGAGUAAAAGAGUAAUCUUCCUGCUGAGCAUGUUUUGCGGUUGCCAGCGCUGCCCCGGGUGUGUCUGGAGGAACACUCCCUGUUGCCUAACAACUGCUGUAAUGUAACGGAAAUAGAAGCACGAUGCCACACAUCCCUCAGAAAACGACUUGGCCCUUGGCCCUCCUGUGGAUGAAGAGUAUAUUGAAGAGAAACUGGAUAUUUCUAAAUUUGCUAAGACUCGCUUUUCUCACUUGCUCUCAGAUCACACUACUUUUGAGUAGCCCAAAAUUUUGUUGCCAACUCAGCAAGUUAAGCAAACAAUAUUACAAAUCAUGUUGAAACUGAAGUGGUCCCCAUGGGCCAGUGAGUACGGUGCAGGUGGAGAAAAAAUUAGCUGCUGAGUUAGGACAAACUGCUCCAAUUUUGAAGGCACAAAUGGGCAUCAUCUUGGGCCCGGGUACUACCCAAGGUGGACCUCUCAAUCAGGCUCUUAUGCUCCCAGGUGUAGUUGUUGGGUGAACUCUCUCCCUGGAUGCUCAGGGACAGCAUCUCAGAGAGAGGUGAAUGGAAAAACCAUGAGACCCUGUACACACUCUAGGUGCAAUGGAUUACAAGGGUUGAUAGCUCUUCUUAGUAACCGAAAGCCUAUAUGCUCCAUCUUUCUUGAUGGCAAGGUCCCUGGGAAGGAGACAUUCUCUUAGAAUGUCAUUAAAUGACCAUAGAAUAAGCAUGAAGUGAGUGGAAUUAUGUGGAAGGGAUUCAGCAUUUUACCCAAGCACUGGGCAGCCCCUGGGUGUGGCUGUCCCUCCACAGUGGCCUGUCUGUCUAAGUCUUGACCCACCCACCCAGAUCCUCUUGGAAGCCACUGAUAGCAUUUGCCUCUGGGAAUUCUGCAGCCUUUGCUGAUGAGUCUCAGUUGACACCAUCUAUCAUUGCAGAUACAGAUGUCUCCAAAAGGCAAUUGCCAAAGGCUGUGCCACACAGCACACACCUGUCCAUGUGCAGAUUGAUUCUGUUAAACUCUUCAGCUAUCUUGUGGGCUGCUUUUCCCUGCCUCAUUAUCUGCCUGCAGACCUUCCUUCUGUGUUCUCUGCUCUUAGAGGUCAGAUUGAUCUGUAUUUUUAUCAAGAUGAGGAAGGAGAUGGUAGACUGUGAAUCAAGGAUCUACCUCUCCCAGUAAUUCACUGUGGCAUCUUGGGGCACCUGCUGGCCCUCUCUGAGCCUCCAUUUUCUUACCCACGAAAUGUGGAUUUGGACCCAGUUAUCUCCAACCACCCAAGAGUCUGUGAUUCUGCUACUAAGAAAAGCAAAAGGCAAGUACAAGAUAGCAUGUGUUUAGUUGCUGGGGAAAGCUCAGUCUAAUAUUAAAAAUAAUAAGUAUAAAAAUAAUCACCACCAUUCACUCGAGCUUGCUUUGCCAGUUCUGCACUGUGAUCUUUGCAGGGGUAAUCUUACUGAAUCCUCUGCUCCAACCCUACCAGGUGGGAACUACUUUUAUCUUUAUUUUUCUGAUGAGGAGAUUGAGCCUCAGAGAUGUUAAGCAACCUGCCGAAGCAGAGAGUUAAUAUGUCGGGAUUCAUCACAGGCAGAUCCCUCUGCUCUUGGGAAGCCCAGACCUCAGAAGCAGGAGUGGGUCUGAUUCAGGUGUGCUCUGAGGGCCAGCUGUCCUUUCCAAAAAUGCCUUCCUUUAUUUAGACACCAACAUCCUUGCUAUUUUGGAUUUUUCAAUGAGCUUCCUUAUUUUCUCCCUAUUCUGUCCUAUUCAGCAAAAUGAAUGAAUAAAUAUAGGUUCCUAAUGUUACAAAUUUAAUUUUCUUCUAGAAAUGAAAGUGUUUAUUUCUCUUCUUUUAUUUCUCAAGCCAAAAUAAUUAUUUCCUCCUUCUUAGAAGUCCAGGAAUAGGUUAAACUUUAAUUAAAAGUCUUAUGGUUCAACAGUUGGAAUGAGGAUCAGGUAAUAACGAAGAAACCCCGUAAACACCCUGAGGAGAACCAGCACCCCCUCCAUUGGUUGUUUUAGCUCAGCCCACAGCUAACAGCUCAGCUCAGAAAGUUCCUACCACCCACUCCGCUUCUAACGCCUUUUAAUAUUCGCACAGAGUUUUCUCACAUUGUGGCUCUCACACACUUCCUUUAUACAUGCUGUUUCCUCAGCCUGGAAUGCCACCUCUUUCUUUACCUGGAGAACCCCUGUCCCUUAAAGACGCAGGUCAGAAGUCACGUAGUACUCCUCUGCUACCACCUAAUGCAAAGCGUGAUUAUUCCUUCACUUCUCUUCUGCAUUUAAAUUAUUGAGGGAAGAGGCUUGGUCUCAUUGCCUUUGGAAUAGCUCUGGAUCUGCGUUCAUGUUUUGUAUAUAAUACGACU
This is a long non-coding RNA of Homo sapiens (human), 2854 nucleotides long. The record is from Ensembl. Lineage: Eukaryota; Metazoa; Chordata; Mammalia; Primates; Hominidae.